Molecule: unclassified non-coding RNA, 319 nt
Organism: Ursus americanus (American black bear)
Lineage: Eukaryota; Metazoa; Chordata; Mammalia; Carnivora; Ursidae
Gene: 7SK
Rfam family: 7SK RNA
About the family: 7SK was discovered as an abundant small nuclear RNA in the mid-70s but a possible function has only recently been suggested.
Source: Ensembl
GCAUGUGAGGGCGGUCCUGCUGCGACAUCUGUCAGCCCAUUGAUUGUCAGGGUUGAUUUGGUUGAUCUGGCUGGCUAGGUGGGUGCCCUCUCUUUCCCUUGCCACUCCGUGCAUCCCUCCUGAAGCUGCGUGCUCUAAAAGGACCAUGUCGCUCGAUAGAGGGGGACUAUUCUUUGGUCACGGGUAUAUGAGUAGCCGUGCUCCCCUGCUGAAACCAAACAAGCUCUCAAGGUCCGCUUGCAGGAGAACGCAGGUUAGUCUGGCUUCCAAGACUCGGGCACACCCAAGUGAAGCGCUGCGUGGCGGUCUGCCCUUCUGU